CAAUAGCGUAUAUUAAAGUUGUUGCGGUUAAAAAGCUCGUAGUUGGAGUUCUGCCAGGUGCCGCCUGUCCGCCCCAGUGGUGAGUACGUGGCGCGCAUUUGGCCCUUUCAAGGGGAGCGUAUCUGCACUUUAUUGUGUGGUGCGGGAUCCUUGACUUUUACUUUGAGGAAAUAGGAGUGUUCCAAGCAGGCUCUCGUCGUGCACAGCUCAGCAUGGAAUAAUAGCAUUGGACCUCGAUUCUAAGCUGUUGGUUGCCAGAAGCGAGGUAAUGAUGAAGAGGGAUAGUUGGGGGCAUUCGUAUUUAACUGUCAGAGAUGAAAUUCUUGGAUUUGUUAAAGACGGACUACUGCGAAAGCAUCUGCCAUGGAUGUUUUCAUUGA
RNAcentral lists this ribosomal RNA (380 nucleotides) under uncultured eukaryote. RNAcentral's name for it is "partial 18S ribosomal RNA". It matches the Rfam family "Eukaryotic small subunit ribosomal RNA", at positions 592 to 976 of the family's 1831-position model. The record is from RNAcentral.